GAAACCAACAGGGAUUGCCCUAGUAACGGCGAGUGAAGCGGCAACAGCUCAAAUUUGAAAUCUGGCCUUCGGGUCCGAGUUGUAAUUUGUAGAGGAUGCUUUUGGUGCGGUGCCUUCCGAGUUCCUUGGAACAGGACGCCUUAGAGGGUGAGAGCCCCGUACGGUUGGACACCAAGCCUUUGUAAAGCUCCUUCGACGAGUCGAGUAGUUUGGGAAUGCUGCUCUAAAUGGGAGGUAAAUUUCUUCUAAAGCUAAAUACCGGCCAGAGACCGAUAGCGCACAAGUAGAGUGAUCGAAAGAUGAAAAGUACUUUGAAAAGAGGGUUAAAUAGCACGUGAAAUUGUUGAAAGGGAAGCGUUUAUGACCAGACCUUUGCCUGGCGGAUCAUCCGGUGUUCUUCACCGGUGCACUUCGCCUGGCUUAGGCCAGCAUCGAUUUCUGUAGGGGGAUAAAGACCAUGGGAACGUAGCUCUCUUCGGGGAGUGUUAUAGCCCUAGGUGUAAUGCCCUUACGGGGAUCGAGGUUCGCGCUUCGGCAAGGAUGCUGGCAUAAUGGUCAUCAACGACCCGUCUUGAAACACGGACCAAGGAGUCGAACAUUUAUGCGAGUGUUUGGGUGUUAAACCCUCACGCGUAAUGAAAGUGAACGGAGGUGAGAGCCUUUUAGGUGCAUCAUCGACCGAUCCUGAUGUCUUCGGAUGGAUUUGAGUAAGAGCAUAACUGUUCGGACCCGAAAGAUGGUGAACUAUGCGUGGAUAGGGUGAAGCCAGAGGAAACUCUGGUGGAGGCUCGCAGCGGUUCUGACGUGCAAAUCGAUCGUCAAAUCUGCGCAUGGGGGCGAAAGACUUAUCGAACCAUCUAGUAGCUGGUUACCGCCGAA
RNAcentral lists this ribosomal RNA (879 nucleotides) under Eutypella dalbergiae. RNAcentral's name for it is "Diatrype dalbergiae partial large subunit ribosomal RNA". It matches the Rfam family "Eukaryotic large subunit ribosomal RNA", at positions 61 to 965 of the family's 3401-position model. Lineage: Eukaryota; Fungi; Ascomycota; Sordariomycetes; Xylariales; Diatrypaceae. The record is from RNAcentral.